This 207-nucleotide ribosomal RNA is filed under the name uncultured bacterium. Its description in RNAcentral is "partial 16S ribosomal RNA". It matches the Rfam family "Bacterial small subunit ribosomal RNA", at positions 568 to 774 of the family's 1533-position model. The record is from RNAcentral.
UGCGCAGGCGGUUGUGCAAGACAGAUGUGAAAUCCCCGGGCUUAACCUGGGAAUUGCAUUUGUGACUGCACGGCUAGAGUGUGUCAGAGGGGGGUAGAAUUCCACGUGUAGCAGUGAAAUGCGUAGAUAUGUGGAGGAAUACCGAUGGCGAAGGCAGCCCCCUGGGAUAACACUGACGCUCAUGCACGAAAGCGUGGGGAGCAAACA